Non-coding RNA from Notechis scutatus (mainland tiger snake), 159 nucleotides. NCBI's taxonomy places the organism in Eukaryota, Metazoa, Chordata, Lepidosauria, Squamata, Elapidae. The record is from RefSeq and is a predicted model, not a curated record.
CUGGCUGCUUCCCAUUUGACAACGCUGCUUAUGGGUGGCAGCCAGGGCCGCCGCCUGCCAUGAGGUAAGGAGAGCUGGGAGAGCAUUGUGUGGCAGCUUAGCCGGCCAGCUGAGCCUGGGGAUGUUGGGGAGGGCAGCUAGGUAGGCUGAGCAAGGGCC